UUGAUAGAGGUGCGACAUUUAUCAGUAGCGAGAGCAAUAACAGCAGGGGCUCGGUUCUUGUAAAAGGAAAUGCCGCCGAAACGGUUUGUCACCCCGAAGGACAGGCUGUUGGGCCGAUACAAAAGAUGUAUCGGACUGUCACUUUCCGUGGAGCGCUAUCA
This 161-nucleotide non-coding RNA is filed under the name human gut metagenome. RNAcentral's name for it is "Lysine riboswitch". It matches the Rfam family "Lysine riboswitch aptamer". From Rfam's summary of the family: Riboswitches are metabolite binding domains within certain messenger RNAs that serve as precision sensors for their corresponding targets. Allosteric rearrangement of mRNA structure is mediated by ligand binding, and this results in modulation of gene expression. The record is from RNAcentral.